UCCGAAGCCACGUGGGUCCGACAGAUGCGGUAGCCCUCCGUUUUUCCUGCGACGCUUGGUUUUAAACGGUUUGCGCUCCGCUGCCAAAAUGCGGCGCGUGGCUCCGAGCCAAGAGCCCCGAGGCAGAAAGGGGGGACAGGAAGACAUUUUUAUCAAGUGCCAGACCCUCUGUAUGAAAUCCACGCGCGCAAUCUGCUCACUGAACUCUUCCAGGCGCUCUCAGAGGUUCGUUUCGCCAAGGGAUGUCUCGGCCGCUCCGAAGUCCGUUGCGGAUCUUCUUAGAAGUUAUUUAUCGUUACUGCUCCGAGAUGCUGAGAAACCCCCGAAACACCCAAUCAUCGAUCACAAGGACAGACGCAACGUUCGCUCGAGUGCCAGUAUCGCCAUUGAGCUGGGAAAAAAUGCUCCGGGCCUUUGGCAUUCUUGAACAACCGCUGGCCUAAUGUUGAGAUCAAACAAAUCAGAAAUUCACUUAGUUCCAUAAAUGCAGCUCUAUGAAUUCUGUAUGCUUUCUGUUUGGUCAAAACUAACCACUCCAACAUCUUAAUUCCUUUUUAAUCAAACUGAUAAAUGACGCAAAUCCCUUUAAUCCAAAAUUCUUCCGUUUAAAUUCGCGGAAGCAGCAAGACCAGACUAUAAAACUCUGAGCGUUGAGGAAGGUCUGAAAAGUCAUUGCAAUUUUCAUUUUUACGUAAAGACUUGAGGCUUGCGAUAAAUGUCUACGGGGUUGACGUACGAUCCCCGACAGAGCUGAAUGACUGGACCGGCCCCUGCGUUAGGCUGCGACACCGAACGACCGUGAGGGUCCUGCAGCCCCUAACUGCCCAAAAAAACCCUCCAUCCCUAGGCAGACCUCUGCAUUCUACGUCGAAUCCUCUCAGUGACAAAGCACACGAUAGGUUAACAAUUCGACAUCUGUAACAUGUUCCCUCGAAGCUGCACUUAUGACAGCACCGCAUCCAUCACUCAGACAACACUGG
Molecule: long non-coding RNA, 980 nt
Filed under: Scleropages formosus (Asian bonytongue)
Lineage: Eukaryota; Metazoa; Chordata; Actinopteri; Osteoglossiformes; Osteoglossidae
Description: lncRNA (ENSSFOG00015028636.1)
Source: RNAcentral